GGGUAAGAUUUGAAUUAUUCAGUCUGUUCAUGAAAUUUUAAUUGUCAUUAUUUCAGCUGAAAAGAAUAUAAACAAAGAAAAGUUAGCCUUAUGUCAAUUAUCUCCAUUUAUCUUUGACUCAGUUGUCAAGAUUCUACAACUUUCAAAAGCAGAUACAGAGGCUGGAAUAACUGUUAAAUGCAGCAUGUAUAAAACACAUCCCAUUAUUCUGGAUAUGAACAUUAAAUUAGACAAUGAAAACAUUAUUUUUUUCUUUAUAUUUUAAAAUAUAGUGAGUAUUCAUGCUCCUGUUCAUCUGUUCUUGGAUGAACAUCAUUUGUUAGUUCUGGAACAUUCAUUGUGUGUGCUAAAGAAACUCUCGUCAUAAACUUCAGCACAAAUAAUAGGGAAAUUAUAGGUUGAUAAGAAUGCUGAAUCUUUUUGCAUGUUACAGUCCUGGUAAGAGACAAAAAUGGUCUGUCUGGUCUGAAUCAUUCAAUCAAAAAUACCUGCUCAGUUAGAGGAACAAUUAAAAUUUCUUCCUUGACAGUACAACAGGUUGUUGUUCUCAGAAAGAACAUUUACAUUGUGAAGGCACUUUGCAUUAAACUGCAUGCUUCAGUGCUCUGGAGGUCUUUAAAGAUCUGUAACUUUACGAUUUUAUGACUGACAGCUCUCCUUCAAGAUAACAGAUCCUGAAGCAAACAUGACUUUGAUAACAGUCAUUAUUUGGACACUCACCACCUGCACCUGGAGUUCUGUGGGGCAGAUUGUGACUCAAUCUGAAGAUCAAACAGUGAAGCCUGAUCAGACUGUCACUAUUCAGUGUAAUCAUAAACCAGCAGUAAACUAUAUUAAACCAGGUACCUCUCAGGAUUGCAUGGCCUGGUACCAUCAGAUUCCCAGAGAAGCUCCUAAACUCCUGAUCUAUUACACAUCAGACAGAGCUUCAGGUGUUUCUUCUAGAUUCAGUGGCAGUGGAAGGGACACAGAUUUUACUCUGACCAUCAGUGGAGUCCAGCCUGAAGAUUCAGGAGUUUAUUACUGUUAG
This is a non-coding RNA of Cyprinus carpio (common carp), 1030 nucleotides long. The record is from the annotation of a RefSeq genome assembly. Lineage: Eukaryota; Metazoa; Chordata; Actinopteri; Cypriniformes; Cyprinidae.